This 254-nucleotide ribosomal RNA is filed under the name uncultured bacterium. Its description in RNAcentral is "partial 16S ribosomal RNA". It matches the Rfam family "Bacterial small subunit ribosomal RNA", at positions 524 to 776 of the family's 1533-position model. The record is from RNAcentral.
UACGUAGGGGGCGAGCGUUGUCCGGAUUUAUUGGGCGUAAAGAGCUCGUAGGUGGUUUGGUAAGUCGGAUGUGAAAUCCCCAGGCUCAACCUGGAGGGGUCAUUCGAGACUGCUAUGACUAGAGUUCGGUAGAGGAGUGUGGAAUUCCUGGUGGAGCGGUGAAAUGCGCAGAUAUCAGGAGGAACACCCGUAGCGAAGGCGGCACUCUGGGCCGAUACUGACACUGAGGAGCGAAAGCGUGGGGAGCGAACAGG